CUCAUGUAUCGUAAAAUUUGUACUCCAUAAAGUAGAGUUAUAUGUGUAGAUUGCAUGCAUUGUGGAUAGUGCUUGGUUUUGCAAGUUGAGAACAUGUCUCCAUGCUAGAAUUGAGUGAAUUAUGCAUCAUGAACAUAUUAAUGCCAUGCUUGGAACUCGUUGAACAAAAGUGUCAUAAAGGGGCACUUGGAAUUAGUAAACUAUGAAAAUGCAACUUAGAGACGUGAUGACAGGCCAUUG
This 240-nucleotide long non-coding RNA is filed under the name Ananas comosus (pineapple). Its description in RNAcentral is "long non-coding RNA (ACOM_LNC010073)". The record is from RNAcentral. Lineage: Eukaryota; Viridiplantae; Streptophyta; Magnoliopsida; Poales; Bromeliaceae.